Molecule: long non-coding RNA, 1016 nt
Filed under: Gossypium barbadense (sea-island cotton)
Lineage: Eukaryota; Viridiplantae; Streptophyta; Magnoliopsida; Malvales; Malvaceae
Description: long non-coding RNA (GBAR_LNC006474)
Source: RNAcentral
AAUGCUAUACAUGCCAUACUCAAAAUAUACAAGCCAUUAUGCCAAGAUGGUAUACGGAUAGUGUGAGCGAGCCUCCGACCAUUCCCGAUUUCCGAGCUGGCUUGUCAAAACUAAAAGGAAUGAAAAGGAGGGAGUAAGCAUAAAUGCUUAAUAAGUUCACAUGCAAAUAGCAAGUAACAUAACCAUAUAAGCAAACAUAAAACAUCAUUUGCAUAAUCAUCACCAAGACAUUCAUAUCACAUUUUCAUUUAUCAUCUUACCAUAUUGUUGUUAUAUCGAUUUUUCAACCCGAGGGUUAAGUACAUACCUGUUCAAAGUAUCCAUUUCACAACACUUACCAAUACGUCCCUUUCAUCUUGAGUAUUCCUCUAUUUCAGUAGAACUUUACCCGUUGAACACAUCGGAAUAUAAUUCAGAUACAUGGAAAGUUUGCACAUAAGUGCCACAUAUGUAGCCAAGCUACCAUGUAACCCGCCCAUAAGUGAACUCGGACUCAACUCAACGAGCUCGGGCGUUUGCAUCCAUAAGUGAACUCGGACUCAACUCAACGAGCUCGGAUGCCUAGUAACAUCUCUCGAACUCGGACUCAACUCAACGAGUUCGGAUGCUCAACCAUCCUAGUGACAUGUCACUUGUAUCCUAAUCUAUUCCUAAGGUUCAAACGGGCUUUUUUCCUCGAUCUCACAUCUUUGCCGUCUUCCACGGAAUAUCGGAACCGAUACUCGGUGAUAGUUCAUACUCAUCAAGUAAUUCACAUAAUUACAUAUUAUUCAACAAUAACCACAAAACAUAACGUUUCAUGAUAAUAAUAAGCAUCAUAUCAUAUAAACAACAUUAAAUUCCUUAAAACAACAAUUAUGUUACUACAUUUACACAUGAACUUACCUCGUAUGCGAAAAUGGCUACUUUUACCAUUUCGUCCACAACUUGGUAUUUUCCCCAUUUUAGCCCGAAUUUCAGUUUUCCUUGCUUAUGGAGCUUGGAAGCUUGAAACAAACCCUAGCUAUGGAGAGCCC